Manis javanica (Malayan pangolin) is the source of this 7628-nucleotide non-coding RNA. NCBI's taxonomy places the organism in Eukaryota, Metazoa, Chordata, Mammalia, Pholidota, Manidae. The record is from RefSeq and is a predicted model, not a curated record.
UCGCGGAGAGGGAGGGGCGGGCCCGGAAGGGGCGUGGCCUGCAUUCACGGUCUGCGCCCGCGCCGGGAGAGGCAGGUGGUUGCGCGGCGGAACCCGGUGGCCUGCCGCUGGUGGCUCGCGCAGCUCGUGGGGAGCGGGCGCGCGCGGGCGCCGAGGGAUCGUGUGGGACGGGAGGGCGAGGAGGCGGCGGGGCGCCCCCGACGCGCGGUGUAAAGUGCGGAGGGGCGAUGGCCGCGCGCACCGUGGGGACGGGGUGGCAGUUGGAAGGCGGGUGCUGAAGCCUUGUCUUGGGCGGCAACACUGAGUUUGAGGCGAGUUAAAAUAAAGGGUAACCAUGAUAACCGUUCGCGGCUUUAUACCCGCAUGCGCGUCCGGCGCCGCAGCCUGGAGUGUGCGGGGAGGUCUAUGUGCCGGCGGCGCUCCCGCGGGCACCUCCGGAGAGCCGGCGGCCCACCUGGGCGGCCGGCGAAGGCCCCUGCCGGCUUCCGCCUUCGCGGGCCCUGUGGGCUACCGUGGGCCGCUGACCAGACAUUCGGUUUAGUCCUACUGUCCAAAUGCACCAGGUGCAAUUUUGUUUCCUGCCUUUAACUUCGGAACACACCUUUGGACUGUCGGGUUUUGCGGAUUUUUUGACCAUGGUCAUUAAUUCACUAUUUUUCUGCCACACACACACACACACACACACUGUGGAGGACUCUAGUUCCAUGUUUCAGAGCUUUGACCGGCCUCAGCAAUCCUGUGUAAUAAAGGCAGAUGUGAAUUUAGGGGGAGACCAGUAAAUACACCCUUUAUCUGAACCGGGGCUCAGAACCAAUAGCAACAGGACCGGCAGGCAGAGGAAACUGAAUGCCAGCGUAGUGAUCACUGCUAAUGGCACCGUGGGAGCACACGACUUAGGCACAAAACGCACCCACCCUCCAACGUGGUGCCCAGUUCAGUGCCAGGUCUCCUAAAAGCCUCACUUAAAGCAAACAGUUACCAGGACACAUGUAAUUGGCACAGCAUGGGCCUUCAUCCACAAAAUUCAGAAAGCAGGCCAAUCCCCAGUUCCUAAUAGAUAAGAGGCAAAAUUUUGUCCUUAGAAAACUCUCAAAAGACCCUGAAACGUGGUGUUACCUGAGCCAAGGUGAACAGGCUGACAAAGUUGAUUCGGUGUUUCUGGGACUCAAGUGGGUCUGUAGAUAGUACUUCACAUGGUUCCGCAUUCUCGCAGUGUUAUUUUACAGUCGUCACAGCCCCCCAACCAGGGCUUCUUAGAGAUGUAUUUCUUUUCCAUCCAACAUGUUCCUAUUUCUUAGUCCCAUUUCACCUUUGGGUCCUGUGUUUCUGGCACCCCAGGGCUGCAUUGAGGGUGAGCUCUUAGAGCACAGCUUUCCCUGUGCGCAGUGUUCAGUGGCCCCUGCCUAAUGCUGGGGGUCGCAGGCCUCCUUGAGGAGACAGGGUUCAUUUCUUAAGAGACAAAUUGAUAAGUGAAACAAAACAUCUCAAGGCAAAGUUACAAAAGCAGCAGCCAGUUGUCUUCUGUUCCUUUUUGGGUUUUAAUUCUCCUGAGUGCAGCCUUGGGAGGGGUUGCCUGUUAAGGCAGAGGUAGACUCCCCUGCCUGAGGCGGGGCCACCAUGGCACCCUGUGGGGCUGCAGGCUCCCCGUUGUCCUUCACACAGACCCGCAACUCCAACAGUCAGGUCCGCAGCAGAACCUGGCAUCCCUCUCUGCAGUGUCUCCUGAAACCCUGUUACAGUGAUACCAGCCCCUCCCUCUCACUCCAACUUGGGAUUUCAAUGGGAAAUAGCCUGGCCUGUCUGUGACCAUCAUAUGUAACUUCCACGGACGUGUAGGUUGUCUUCGGGGUCUUGCGAUGCCAAGAGUGCUGCAGGGGCCGACCUUGGACACCUAUAGUUUUGUGCACCAGAUGUGUCUUUUGAGUAGCAGGGUUGAGGCAGGGAUUACCAGCUGGAAAGGAAAGUGUAUACAUAGUUUUGUUGGGCAUUUGCCAGCUUUCUCAGAAGGGUCAUGCCAAUCUGCAUGCCCAGCAGCAGUGUAUAGGACCACCUGUUACUUGUGACUGUCCCAAAUUUAUUCUGUUCUUGAUUUCUGAUUUCAGUGUGUUGUGGUGGGAGAACAUAUUUUGUAAGAUUUCAGUCCUUUUAAAUUUAUUGAACAUUUUUAAUGGCCCAGGAUAUGGUCUGUCCCGGGGAACAUUUCAUUCACAUUCCUGAGAAACACGUGCAUCCUGCUGUCGGGUGGUGCCCCAGAAGCCGGGCGAGUCCUGUAAUGUCCAUAUGGGGGCGGUUAUGCCGAGUCUUCACUUCCUUUUGAUCUGCCGAGCUGUUCUCUCCAUUAUUGACAAUGGAAUGCUGAAUCUCUUCAAGUAUGUCAGUUUUGCUUCAUGUGUUUUGGGGCUCUAUUUUAAAUUUCAAAAAUGUUUAUAGCUAAAUGUCUUCCUGAUAGAUGGACUCUGAUCACUAUAAAACAUCUUUGUCUCUAGUAACCAGGCCUGUCUGCACUGUUCUGCCUGCUGUCAGCAUAGCCCGCCUGGCCUGCCUGUUUGGUUUCAGCACUCUCUACAUCCCUUUACUUUCAGCCGUGGCAUCUUAGAAUCCAAGACGUGUGUCUUGUCAACAGCAUCUAAUUUAUUCCAUUUUUAUCCUUUCUGCUGAUCUCUGCAUUUGAGUUCAUUGUUUGACCCAUUUAUGUAAUUAUGGGCAGGGCAGAUUUUCCUCUGCCUUUGCUGUCUGUUUUCUGUCGUAUAUCGUAUAUCCUUUCUGUUCCUCCACUGUUGCCUCUCAUGUGUGUUAAAUAUCUUUUAAUUAUUUUCUUAGUGGUUUCCCUGGGGAUUACAGUUAGGAUCUGAACCCAUAACAAUCUAGUUCACGUUCACACCAGCUUAAUCUUUGUACCACACGAAUGGCUGAUCCUGUGUAGCUCCACAUCCCUUCUCCCCUGGGGCUUGUCGUCACACAAACUUCCUGACGGGUUGUGUGCAGGCUGUGUGGGAGCCGAUGGGACCUGACCAACAGCAGUGUUUUCCCGUGAAACACCACCUCCUGCAUUUUCAGCCUCUUACCUGUGCAGACGUCGCCAGGACUGUCAUUCCCAGGGAGAGGCACAUUCACACUGAGUGGACAGUGCCAUCGGUCAUAAAAACUUUUCUCUUUAGAAUUGUAGGAGCUCUGUGCUGCGUGGGACCUUGACAAGAUAAGUCAAAUGAUUCUUAAUUCUGGUUAUGCUUCCGAACUCCUGAGUGGGGGAGGUUUUUUAUUAUUAAUGCUGGUUGCCUGGGGUUCAUUUCAGACUUAUGACAAAAAUCUCCUUCUAUUCAUUUUUUUAUGCUGUUACCUAAGAAGUGAGAAGAAGUCCGAGUGAAUGACAGACUCCUCUAUCAGUACGAGCCGUGCUAAGUAAGUGUCCCUACCUAUGUGUUGCCAUCAGCCUGCAGCUUACAGUUUUGGGAAAGUGGAAGACACAUCAGCACGGAUUUCUUCAUCCUUCCUCAGGUUAGUGUGUGCUCACGUUCCUGGGGCCAAGACUGUAUGCUUUGUGCAGGGUUCAACGCGGUUCCCGCCAGCAGAGCACCCCCCCCAGGAGCUCGUGGAACCGAGGCAGCGCUUGGAGGGUGUUUAGGAGCUGUGUUGUGGCCAGGCCUUACUCCACGUGCGGUGCUAAGCUUUCCUUGGAUAAAGUUCUGAGUCUCUUGUGUGGCAUGGCUGAGGUUUCUCAAGCCAGAUCCCCGUGCGCUGAAAGCCAUGUUGCCACACGACCAGACUCGACGGGGAGGGCUAACGCCCCAGGUCAUCAGCACUGCUGCCCCAGGGCACCUGCCCCUCGGUUAGGCUUCUGUGCGCCUUUGCUCACAAUCUGUCCGACAGAGGGCGCCCGUGGCACACAUCAUGCAGUUGCGGGAAAAGAACAGAACAGCAGGUAUGUAUUUUUAACAGACUUAUUAUCUAAGAAAUGUUUGCCCAGCAGGCUUUGCGCUGAACAUCGCGUCCUGAAGGAGCAAAUCAGGGAGUCUGAUCCAGCGCUAGACCGAUCGCUGGGUUGACUGACCGCUGAUUUCCUCUAGCCCCUGAGCUCUCCUUAACGGGCACACCACUGUGUUUCUUUGAUCGUCUGUGGAUGCAGCAAGUUUUGUAAUUCUUUGUAGCAGGUUUAGGAGUUUUUCUGCAAGAGACAUCAAAUUUGGGAAAAUUAAGAGAAAAACUGCCACUCAGUUAAAUAUUCCCACCCUCCUCCUGCAGGAAGAACGCUAAACAAUGAAUCUUGGCGGAUUCUGACAGCAGUGGCAAGGAGCCGAGGCACAGAGGGGAGCCCGGAUGUGUCGGGCCAGGCCCCAAGGGGCGGAGGGCGGAGGGCAGAGGCUGGGGAGCUGAUGCGGGCUCUCGUCUGUGCAAGAGGUCCCACCACGGUCACCACCUUCCCUGGGUGACAAGCAGUACCUCUCUGCUUUGGCACAUGGCUGUGCAUAGCAACCACAAUUCAUUCGUUUGUGCAUUCACUCACUCCCGUCUCCUCACAGCAAGCCAACCAUUUUAAUGAGUUCUUUGUGCAUGUGUUUAUGUGUUUUUGUACAGGACAGACACUGUCUUUCAUUUAGUUCACUUCGUGGUGCCGUGCCACGGGUAUUUUCCACGCCUUGCUCUUCCUCCGAGGGCGGUGCUUUGAAGUCCCAUAUUGCUGAGUGCACUCCUGGCUUGGUCAGAAGGCUGCGUGGAACUCUGUGGUGAUGCCCUCAGGGUUUCCCCAUUGGAUUUGUGACUAGCCUCACCGAGGCUGUGCCUGGGCCAGCCACCUGCGCCCAGAACGACACCGCAGUGAACACGUCACUUCACAAAGCUGGGCUUGGAAGUGCUGGACCCUAACAUAUGUGUGUAUUUAAUUCCUUUGCGUAAAAAGUGGUAGGUUGCCCCUCACAGUGGCUGUAACUCUCCAGUGUCACCGCAGACCAUGCGAGGACAGUCGUCACCUCAUGGCCAGCCAUCUGACUCUUGCUAGUAUAACAGGUGCAAGUUGCCAUCUCUUUGUUUCAGUUUGAAUGUGGCUAUUCGUGAGCUUUUGAACAUCACUCUUAUGCUGACCAGUUCUUGGUCUUUCUUCUAUAAAACCAUAGCCUCUACCAGUUUCCGGCGGCUUGAUGUGUAUUGUGGCUUAUUUGCAUGUGCAUCCAUGUUGCCUGUAGGGUCCUCAGCUGACUACUAACUUACCCACAGCACCCCUCAGUUAUCAGGCAGGGCUCUUCAAUCCAGUCGGAAUAUCGUCUGGGAACAAAGAAUAAUUUAGGGAAAACUGGCACAGGUAAAAUCUAGAACAUGGACUCUGUCCAUUUAUUCAUAUGAUCUUAAAUAGUCCUUGAUUAUAAAGUCUUAUAAAGUUUUCUUUUUGGGAGUCUUGAGUAUUCAUAGUUAAUUUUGAGAGACUUCAUCGUUUUUGUUUCUAUUUCUAAUAUUUUUUUGAUAUUAUCUUCCAGUUGAGUGUGACUGCUGUAAAGAAAAGUUACUGAUUGUGUGGGUUGAUGGUGCAUUCAGCAGAAUUUCCAAACCCUCUUAGGAGUUUGUGAUUCAGCCACCUCUGGGAUGAUGAUUACAGGAUCUUCAUUUUUGCCUUGGGCAGACUGAAGUGCCGUUGAGUAAAAGACAGAAAUGGGAAGGCUGGGGUGGAAUAACGGAUUCACUAUUUGCUCAGUCCAGGUGCUUUGCAUGGCAGGUCAGCGGUCUUCCAGCUGGUGGCUCAGGAGCAGGCUUUGUGGGGAUUGGUUUUGUGUGCCCACUUGAUUGGGCCAUGGUGCCUGCAAACUGGUCAUUGUGAAUAUCUAUCUGUGUGAAGGUAUUUUUGGAUGAGAUUAACACUGAAGCCAGUGGUCUCUGAGUGAAGCAGAUGGCCCUCCCCAGUGUGGGCGGCUGCAGGAAGCCAACCGACUCUGCCUGCCUGAUGGCACAGCCCAGGAGGCCGUGGACGGAUACCGCACAGCGGGCCUCCAAGGGGAAGGCUACUGAUAUAUCUUCUGUUGCUUAAUUUGACUAUUCCCCUAGAUUCGAACAGCCCUCGUGAAUCAGAAAAAGCCCCUAGAGAAAGGACUGUUAGGAGCUGUAAAGCAAUCAUAAAAGUCAGCCUGUGCCCCUGCACAUUCCUGUCAGGCCAGUGGGUUAUUGUCCCUGGGUUGGGAAAUAGAAGAAAGUUCGGGUGACUUCAGGGUACAACUCCCCAGCCAGCUUGGCCCCCAGGAGAAACAGAGGUGACCAACAUGGUUUGUGGGUCAGUAGAACAGGUGGGAUAAUCUUGGUAGAGUUCCCUUAAGAAUCAUUACUAUAGAAAUCACGGUAAGCAUUGUUACCGUCAGCAGAGUGAGCGCUGCUCUUUCUACUGUGAGUGGUUUCGGGGAACUAGGAAACAACACGCCCCACAGCCAGCCUAGGUGGGAGUCCGGCUGAGCAAGUUCUAAGACCCAUUCAGAAAACAGUGUGGUGCCUUGUAGAAAUUUAACCUGAGAUUAGAAUCUAAAGGUAUGAGAGCAACAGAAAAAUCUUGAAGAAGAAAACAUGACCUUUCAUGGUUGGGAAAGCAGGGGAACAUUCCGAGAAGUAGAUUGUGCCAUAAAUCACUGAAUGACACGUGCCUUAUGAUUUUAUGAUGAUUUCAUGUAACCAAUCCCUUCUAUCUUGCUUGAGGUUUCUGAAUAAACAGGCCAGGCCAGCUUAGCAUCUCUGCCAGUGUCUGUGUUCUCACCCAGUCGCCGACGCCGUUCCUCCUCCGGGGACCCCUGGACUGACUGGAGCUGGACUCUGGCAGGCGGCCUCAUCCGGUCAGCCGAAGGCCCGCAGAGAACAAAGGCCAACCUGCUUGAGCAAGAAGCAGUGCUGCCUGCACACAGCCCUCGGACACCAUUCUGUGGACAUCCUUACGUUUAAAAGUGUCUCUUUGGAGGGAGAAGCUGAGAAGAGGAAGGGAAGACAGUUUUGCCCGCUCUCCUGUCUGCUUUUCCUCUCUCAAGUUAUUGGUCUCAGUCUCUAAUCUCAGUUACCAAGGGUGUGGCUGUUCUCCUUGAAGGAGAAAGCUGGUGUGAGAGACCCCACCCUCCUCUGUCAGAUGGCUUCCUUGACGACAGCCUCUGUGCCCCACUGUCCCCCUAUGGCCCUACGAUCGGGCAUCUUGCAUGGGUGUCACCCAAAGCUCCCUGGUGGCCCAGGCUGAGCCACGCAGCUACAGCACGGAAGCUCAGAGAUGUGAAAGAAGCUAAAGCAAGUUGUUUGGGGGCAUAACAUCCACUCAGGGAUCAGUGAACUGCCAGCUGGGGAGCUGCUUCACCCAGUGCCCCCUCUUCUCUCUCCAGCUCUUCUGAGGGGGCUUGAGGGUGACCCUCAUCUGCGUCACCGGAUCUGAAUGGCUGUGGCUACUUGCAACUGAGUUCAUCCCGCUUGGCCCUUGACUGGGCCUCACACAGCCUCACCUCAGGGGUUUCUGCUCCACAGUGUGUGGAUGGAUCGCUCUGGGGGCACAGGGAGGGAAGGAAGGAAUGGGGGAGCAAACCGGGGAGGUGCCUCCGGAGGGAUGACGGGUAGGAAGCCUGAGGUCAGUCCUGCCUUGGCCGCCACAGCCUUCUGACUCGAGAUCAAUAAAGUUGAGACUUACAGAA